RNAcentral lists this ribosomal RNA (500 nucleotides) under uncultured bacterium. RNAcentral's name for it is "partial 16S ribosomal RNA". It matches the Rfam family "Bacterial small subunit ribosomal RNA", at positions 30 to 523 of the family's 1533-position model. The record is from RNAcentral.
AUUGAACGCUAGCGGGAUGCCUUACACAUGCAAGUCGAACGGCAGCACGGACUUCGGUCUGGUGGCGAGUGGCGAACGGGUGAGUAAUGUAUCGGAACGUGCCCAGUAGCGGGGGAUAACUACUCGAAAGAGUAGCUAAUACCGCAUACGCCCUACGGGGGAAGGGGGGGGAUCUUCGGACCUCACGCUAAUAGAUGAGCCUAGGUCGGAUUAGCUAGUUGGUGGGGUAACGGCUCACCAAGGCGACGAUCCGUAGCUGGUCUGAGAGGAUGAUCAGCCACACUGGAACUGAGACACGGUCCAGACUCCUACGGGAGGCAGCAGUGGGGAAUAUUGGACAAUGGGCGAAAGCCUGAUCCAGCCAUGCCGCGUGUGUGAAGAAGGUCUUCGGAUUGUAAAGCACUUUAAGUUGGGAGGAAGGGUUGUAAGCUAAUAUCUUGCAGCUUUGACGUUACCAACAGAAUAAGCACCGGCUAACUCUGUGCCAGCAGCCGCGGUAA